GAUGAACGCUAGCUACAGGCUUAACACAUGCAAGUCGAGGGGAAACGAUAUUGGAAGCUUGCUUCCGAUAGGCGUCGACCGGCGCACGGGUGAGUAACGCGUAUCCAACCUGCCCACCACUUGGGGAUAACCUUGCGAAAGUAAGACUAAUACCCGAUGAUAUCUCUAGACGACAUCUGAAAGGGAUUAAAGAUUUAUCGGUGAUGGAUGGGGAUGCGUCUGAUUAGCUUGUUGGCGGGUAACGGCCCACCAAGGCAACGAUCAGUAGGGGUUCUGAGAGGAAGGUCCCCCACAUUGGAACUGAGACACGGUCCAAACUCCUACGGGAGGCAGCAGUGAGGAAUAUUGGUCAAUGGACGAGAGUCUGAACCAGCCAAGUUAGCGUGCAGGAUGACGGCCCUAUGGGUUGUAAACUGCUUUUAUAAGGGAUAAAGUGGGAUCGUGACUCCUUUUGCAUGUACCUUAUGAAUAAGGACCCGGCUAAUUCCGUGCCAGCAGCCACGGU
RNAcentral lists this ribosomal RNA (505 nucleotides) under uncultured bacterium. RNAcentral describes it as "bacterial SSU rRNA". It matches the Rfam family "Bacterial small subunit ribosomal RNA", at positions 28 to 521 of the family's 1533-position model. The record is from RNAcentral.